UGCCAGCCGCCGCGGUAAUACGGAGGGUGCAAGCGUUAAUCGGAAUUACUGGGCGUAAAGGGCGCGUAGGUGGUCUGGUCAGUCGGGUGUGAAAGCCCCGGGCUCAACUCGGGAAUUGCAUUCGAUACUGCCAGGCUUGAGUGUGGUAGAGGGAAGCGGAAUUCCGGGUGUAGCGGUGAAAUGCGUAGAUAUCCGGAGGAACACCAGUGGCGAAGGCGGCUUCCUGGACCAACACUGACACUGAGGCGCGAAAGCGUGGGGAGCAAACAGGAUUAGAUA
This 279-nucleotide ribosomal RNA is filed under the name uncultured bacterium. RNAcentral describes it as "partial 16S ribosomal RNA". It matches the Rfam family "Bacterial small subunit ribosomal RNA", at positions 506 to 784 of the family's 1533-position model. The record is from RNAcentral.